This 590-nucleotide ribosomal RNA is filed under the name uncultured bacterium. RNAcentral describes it as "partial 16S ribosomal RNA". It matches the Rfam family "Bacterial small subunit ribosomal RNA", at positions 355 to 1375 of the family's 1533-position model. The record is from RNAcentral.
UGGGGAAUUUUGGACAAUGGGCGAAAGCCUGAUCCAGCAAUGCCGCGUGUGUGAAGAAGGCCUUCGGGUUGUAAAGCACUUUUGUCCGGAAAGAAAUCCUUGGCUCUAAUACAGUCGGGGGAUGACGGUACCGGAAGAAUAAGCACCGGCUAACUACGUGCCAGCAGCCGCGGUAAUACGUAGGGUGCAAGCGUUAAUCGGAAUUACUGGGCGUAAAGCGUGCGCAGGCGGUUUGCUAAGACCGAUGUGAAAUCCCCGGGCUCAACCUGGGAACUGCAUUGGUGACUGGCAGGCUAGAGUAUGGCAGAGGGGGGUAGAAUUCCACGUGUAGCAGUGAAAUGCGUAGAGAUGUGGAGGAAUACCGAUGGCGAAGGCAGCCCCCUGGGCCAAUACUGACGCUCAUGCACGAAAGCGUGGGGAGCAAACAGGAUUAGAUACCCUGGUAGUCCACGCCCUAAAACGAUGUCAACUAGUUGUUGGGGAUUCAUUUCCUUAGUAACGUAGCUAAGCGCGUGAAGUUGACCGCCUGGGGAGUACGGUCGCAAGAUUAAAAACUUCAAAUGGAAUUGACGGGGUCAUAGCUGUUUCCU